Molecule: ribosomal RNA, 464 nt
Filed under: uncultured bacterium
Lineage: Bacteria
Description: partial 16S ribosomal RNA
Rfam family: Bacterial small subunit ribosomal RNA
Source: RNAcentral
CCUACGGGUGGCAGCAGUGGGGAAUAUUGCGCAAUGGGCGAAAGCCUGACGCAGCGAAGCCGCGUGAGGGAUGAAGGUCUUCGGAUCGUAAACCUCUGUCAGCAGGGAAGAACGGUCACUGUGCUAAUCAGCAGUGAAUUGACGGUACCUGCAAAGGAAGCACCGGCUAACUCCGUGCCAGCAGACGCGGUAAUACGGAGGGUGCGAGCGUUAAUCGGAAUUACUGGGGGAAAGGCGCACGUAGGCGGUAUGUAAAGUCAAGGGUAAAAUCCCCGCGCUCAACGUGGGAACGGCCUUUGAACUGGGCAAACUGGGGUGUGUGAGAGGAUAGUGGAAUUCCAGGUGUAGGAGUGAAUCCGUAGAUAUCUGGAGGAACAUCAGUGGCGAAGGCGACUAUUUGGCACAUAACUGACGCUGAGGAGCGAAAGCGUGGGUAGCAAACAGGAUUAGAUACCCCAGUAGUC